AGAACUGUCAAAUUUUAAUCAGAACAAGAGACUGUUGCAGUGGCUAGUUCAUAGUUUCUCACGUAUCCUGCUAGAGCUGCAUGAGUCUGUUACGUGAUUGAGUUUUUUGACAAUUGUAAGAAGAUAGGUGAAGGCUUAUAUGGAGAAGUGUUUUUCUGUCAGUAUAAUUGUACCUCUGGCAGGGUGCUUAAAAUUAUCCCCAUUGAAGGUCAUAUCUUGGUGAAUGGGGAGAAACAAAAAAAGUAUGAUGAAGUCCUUUCAGAAUUUGUUAUUGCUAUGGAAUUGAGUAAUUUACGUCAUGAUGCACAGUUCAAAACUAGCUGCUUUGUGGAGGUUGCUCGUUGUGUGUGUGUUAAAGGAAAAUAUCCACAGAGGCUUAUUGAUCUCUGGAAUGAAUAUCACGAGGAAAAAGUGUCUGAAAAUGAUUCACCAACUAUCUUUGAUGACAGCCAACUCUUUCUCAUAUUUGAAUUGGUUGAUGGUGGCAAAGCAUUGGAAAAUUACUGUUUUACAUCAGCUGCCCAAGCAUUUUCAGCCUUUGUUC
Molecule: long non-coding RNA, 544 nt
Organism: Schistocerca cancellata (South American locust)
Lineage: Eukaryota; Metazoa; Arthropoda; Insecta; Orthoptera; Acrididae
Exons: 4
Source: RefSeq, a predicted model, not a curated record